AUGAAUGACAAACUUCUCCCAAUCAUGUGCUGGAAUGUGCACGGGCUCAACCACCCCGCGAAGCGCGCCUCUGUCUGCGAAGUCGCUGCAGCAAAUCGAGUAGUGAUCAUGUGUUUACAAGAAACAAAAAUCGACGCCUGGUCUCCUAGUCUAGUCCGGGAAAUUGGCAGCUCCUCGCUGACUGACUGCAUCGCCCUCUCUGGAACAAAGACCUCGCCUUUGUCACCUCCCACGCCAUUGGCGCCUUCGCCAUCACGACAAAGAUCGGCCAUCGAUGUUGCUGGCCUGAAAGAGAUAAAGUGCAAAAAUCGCCGCUACACUUGGAGAAAUGAACGUCAAGACCCCACCCUCGUCAGCAUAGACAAGUUCUUCUACAACCAAGCCUGGGAGUCCCUGUUUCCCAGUUUUGCAGUGAUGGCAGCUUCUACGGCUACGUCAGACCACUGUCCAUUGAUCAUCGCCGACACAAAUGUAGCUCAGGAGACCCGGCGCUUGUCUGACGCUGAAUUCAACCUCAGGAAGCUUUUGAAGCUUCAACUGCUGGGACUGGCGGUGAUCGAUCGCGCCAGAAAGCGCCAAGCUUCUCGCCUGACCUGGCUCCGGGCGGGUGAUGUGGGAACAAAUUUUUUCCAUGCGAAGAUGAGGUCUCGCAGAUAG
RNAcentral lists this ribosomal RNA (657 nucleotides) under Triticum aestivum (bread wheat). RNAcentral describes it as "partial small subunit ribosomal RNA". The record is from RNAcentral. Lineage: Eukaryota; Viridiplantae; Streptophyta; Magnoliopsida; Poales; Poaceae.